UACGAAGGGGGCUAGCGUUGCUCGGAAUCACUGGGCGUAAAGCGCACGUAGGCGGACUCUUAAGUCGGUGGUGAAAUCCUGGAGCUCAACUCCAGAACUGCCUUUGAUACUGAAGAUCUUGAGUUCGGGAGAGGUGAGUGGAACUGCGAGUGUAGAGGUGAAAUUCGUAGAUAUUCGCAAGAACACCCGUGGCGAAGGCGGCUCUCUGGGACGGUACUGACGCUGAGACGCGAAAGCGUGGGGAGCGAACAGG
This 253-nucleotide ribosomal RNA is filed under the name uncultured bacterium. RNAcentral describes it as "partial 16S ribosomal RNA". It matches the Rfam family "Bacterial small subunit ribosomal RNA", at positions 524 to 776 of the family's 1533-position model. The record is from RNAcentral.